AUAUCACAAAGGAGUGAGUAGGGAAUAGGGUGAUAUGGAAGCAAAGUUUCUAUAUUUUCUUGGAAUUAAAUUAGUAUUAAUCUAAAGUACAUGUGGUAAGGUAAGAUGCAUAUUUUAAUCACAAGACUAACCACUAAGAAAAUAAAAAUAUAAACUUUAAAAAGCAAGGAAAUGGCCAGUGAUGAUGAGCAUUUUUUCAUGUGUUAAAUAUCAAAAUUGUAAUUUGAUUCCCUCAUCAUAUGCAACUGAGUUAUGUGCUUUGGCAACUCACAUCCUCUGAGAAGCAGACCAAGACAGGAUUAAAUAUGCAAGAUACUCACUGAGGAAAAU
RNAcentral lists this long non-coding RNA (330 nucleotides) under Pan troglodytes (chimpanzee). RNAcentral's name for it is "long non-coding RNA NONPTRT005081". The record is from RNAcentral. Lineage: Eukaryota; Metazoa; Chordata; Mammalia; Primates; Hominidae.